CGAGGAGGGGGAGGAGGCUCCCAGAGCCAGCCUGCCAGCCACUGAGAAACCUUUGUAUCCCCUCUCGCAGCAACAGGUCACACCACACGCCUUUUCGAAGGAAGUGGGUAAACAGCACUAAGACUACGUGGGUUUUUUUUUCUUUAAACUUAAUAUUGAUUUACUUUUUGGUGCAGGGUACUUAAAUGAGGAUGGGACGCGGGAAGCAGCUAAGGUGCGGGGGUGGGGCAGGGCACAGUGGGUGGCUCAGGGCGGCUGUCCAACUCGUAUUUCUGGAAACAGCCAGUGCAGGAGUUGGUGUGUCAUUGUUCUCCCGCUCAUCCACAGCACUCCCCCCCAACUCCAGCCCCUCUGGUGCCGCUCCCGUACUGCGCUCUUCCGCUCUCCUCUCUUACCUUACAGGUGCCAACACUCUCUCACGCCCUUCUCACAGUCCCGACUAGAAGUUAGGAGACCCAAACCUCUGUCCUCAAAACCUUCCUUGCUUCCACGUAACUUGCUCUGUUCUUAAAAAUAAAUCCUGCUCGGACCAUAAGGCAGACUCUAGAGCUGAGAACCAGCAGGCCUUGGUGUAAUAUUAAGGUAAACACGGACCUGGAGAUUAGGAAAGAGAAAAGGUUGAGAAGAUCUGGGGAAGAGAAGGCGGCCACCGGCUUUUCAGCGCGGCUGGUUUCAGGGAUGUGGCUGGUGCGCCCCCUGCUGGUAGAUUCGCUUUUCCAAGACUAUUGCUUUUACCUUUAAAAGAAGCACCUUGCCUUUAAUUUCCAGAAGUGGUAUUACACUUAACAAAUGAACAAGGGAUAACAAUUGCUGUUUCAGUCCAGACCCAAUUUCACCAAAUAAUUUCACUCAAGAGCUAUUAUUGACAAGCACCGUGGGCUCAAUGGUGUCAAGUUGUACUUGUGGUUUCAACACCCCGCAGCAACCCACGUAGCCGCUGGGCCCUGGAUUAGGACCCCCAGUCUGGCAGUGCUUAUCUGCCCGUCUGAGUGAUGGAGAGAUGAGUAUCAGUCUAUACCUCAACUGCUUCAAGCCCGCCUGGGCUUUCUCCCUGGCGCCUUUGUCUGUGUCAGGGUUGGAGCAACGAAACUGAAAGAUCUCCAGAGUUUGAAAACAGAGUGAAAGAGCAAAUUUAAUAAAUGAGAGCUCAGCCUUGAAUCUUAGUCUUUAUUAAUAGAGUCAUGUCCCUCACACCCAAAUAACUAUCAAACUUCAAACCACAUGUACUGUUUUUCAGAGUUCGGGUUCUUUCCUGGGUUCAUCAUGAAAGGUGUGAGGGAUGAAGGGGAAAAGGGUCUGAGGAGUUGGCAGG
RNAcentral lists this long non-coding RNA (1312 nucleotides) under Homo sapiens (human). RNAcentral's name for it is "HSALNT0065076". The record is from RNAcentral. Lineage: Eukaryota; Metazoa; Chordata; Mammalia; Primates; Hominidae.